RNAcentral lists this ribosomal RNA (447 nucleotides) under uncultured bacterium. RNAcentral describes it as "partial 16S ribosomal RNA". It matches the Rfam family "Bacterial small subunit ribosomal RNA", at positions 29 to 523 of the family's 1533-position model. The record is from RNAcentral.
AACGAACGCUGGCGGCAGGCUUAACACAUGCAAGUCGAACGCAUCGCAAGAUGAGUGGCAGACGGGUGAGGAACACGUGGGAACAUCCCUUUCAGUUCGGAAUAACUCAGGGAAACUUGAGCUAAUACCGGAUACAUCCGUGAGGAGAAAGAUUUAUCGCUGAAAGAUUGGCCCGCGUCUGAUUAGCUAGUUGGUGAGGUAAUGGCUCACCAAGGCUACGAUCAGUAGCUGAUCUGAGAGGAUGAUCAGCCACAUUGGGACUGAGACACGGCCCGAACUCCUACGGGAGGCAGCAGUGGGGAAUAUUGGACAAUGGGCGCAAGCCUGAUCCAGCCAUGCCGCGUGAGUGAUGAAGGCCUUCGGGUUGUAAAGCUCUUUUGUCCGGGAAGAUAAUGACUGUACCGGAAGAAUAAGCCCCGGCAAACUUCGUGCCAGCAGCCGCCGCGG